UCUUUAUUACAUAAUUUAUUUGAAUUAUUGAUCAUUUUAAAUUAGUUAUUUAAUAUUUUAAAAUUUUAAUUUUAUUAUCUAAUCUUUCAAUUUAUUUGAUUUGAGUCAUUCAGCUGUAUUUUGACUUUAAAUUUAAAAAUUGUGUACAGUAUAAUAACUAAAAAUUAUAAAAAUAAAUAAUGUAUUUAAAUUUUGAAGUCACAAUAUCAUCGACGGACUGAAAUCAAGUAAAUUUAAAAGUCGUGUAGUAAAAUCAAAAUUUUGAAACAUUACGUAGUCGAUAAAAAAAAAGAUUUAUUGUUCAAAUAAGUUCUAUACUUUUUACUUUAUUCUUCUUUUACGAGUACAUCUUAUGCCUCAUU
This 362-nucleotide long non-coding RNA is filed under the name Ananas comosus (pineapple). RNAcentral describes it as "long non-coding RNA (ACOM_LNC000443)". Lineage: Eukaryota; Viridiplantae; Streptophyta; Magnoliopsida; Poales; Bromeliaceae. The record is from RNAcentral.